Molecule: long non-coding RNA, 295 nt
Filed under: Olea europaea (common olive)
Lineage: Eukaryota; Viridiplantae; Streptophyta; Magnoliopsida; Lamiales; Oleaceae
Description: long non-coding RNA (OEUR_LNC001921)
Source: RNAcentral
GCUUUUAUUAUAUGCAUAGGAUGAAAUGAUGAACAUGAUAAAUAUUUACUUAAAAUAUAAACAUAGAAACAUGAACAAAAGAUUAAAACAUAAAUCAGGGAUUUAUAAAUUCAUCUUUAAAAAGAUUUACAACUAAAGAUUUUCCUUUCGGAAAGUCCCUAAAGUUCUAAAAUAAACUUAAAGAAAUACAAGAAUACCUUAAAUAUUCACAAGGAUGAUUCAGCUAUACAAUGAUUUUUUGGAUUGAGAAUUUUUCUGAGAAAAGUUUCAAAAGGUUUUUUGGAUAGCAGAGAAU